RNAcentral lists this ribosomal RNA (514 nucleotides) under Mantis religiosa (praying mantis). Its description in RNAcentral is "partial 16S ribosomal RNA". It matches the Rfam family "Bacterial large subunit ribosomal RNA", at positions 1885 to 2600 of the family's 2925-position model. The record is from RNAcentral. Lineage: Eukaryota; Metazoa; Arthropoda; Insecta; Mantodea; Mantidae.
GGUUUCUUGAAUAUAUUUAAGAGAUCUAACCUGCCCACUGAAAAUAUUUUGAAGGGCCGCAGUAUUUUGACUGUGCAAAGGUAGCAUAAUCAUUAGUCUUUUAAUUGAAGGCUGGUAUGAAUGGUUGGACGAGGUAAAUACUGUUUUAUGUUAAUUGAAAUUGAAUUUAGAAUUUAAGUAAAAAGACUUAAAUAUUAUUAAGGGACGAGAAGACCCUAUAGAGUUUAAUAAGUUUAAUAAAUAAUUGAGUUAUUAAUUAAUUUUUGGUUUUUAUGAAAUUUAUUUAAUUGGGGUGAUUAGAGGAUAAAGAAAACUCUUCUUUAAAAUUAAUAUUAUUAUAAGUUUUAUGAUCCAUUAUUAAUGAUUAAAAGAUUAAAUUACCUUAGGGAUAACAGCAUAAUUCUUUUUAAGAGUUCAUAUCGAAAAAGGAGAUUGUGACCUCGAUGUUGGAUUAAGAUUAGUUUUGGGUGCAGAUGUUCAAUAACUAGGUCUGUUCGACCUUGAAAAUCUUACA